UACGGAGGGUGCAAGCGUUGUUCGGAAUUAUUGGGCGUAAAGCGCGUGUAGGCGGCCUGGCAAGUCGGUUGUGAAAUCCCCGGGCUCAACCCGGGAACUGCGACCGAAACUGCCGAGCUCGAGUCCCGGAGAGGAGAGCAGAAUUCCCAGUGUAGGGGUGAAAUCCGUAGAUAUUGGGAGGAAUACCAGUUGCGAAGGCGGCUCUCUGGACGGUGACUGACGCUCAGACGCGAAAGCGUGGGGAGCAAACAGG
Molecule: ribosomal RNA, 253 nt
Filed under: uncultured bacterium
Lineage: Bacteria
Description: partial 16S ribosomal RNA
Rfam family: Bacterial small subunit ribosomal RNA
Source: RNAcentral